Molecule: long non-coding RNA, 1681 nt
Filed under: Oncorhynchus kisutch (coho salmon)
Lineage: Eukaryota; Metazoa; Chordata; Actinopteri; Salmoniformes; Salmonidae
Description: lncRNA (ENSOKIG00005026517.1)
Source: RNAcentral
AUGUUGCCUGUAAUCUCUACGGAGAGGGGGGAAUACCGACUCCGCCUACUCCCGACGCAUUCAUUCACUCGUGAUGAAUGGGAUUUGCCAGGCAACAUGACUGUGCUCGCUACUCCGACCAGACAGUCUACUAUGCGUUCCCGCCAUUCAUUCGAAUUUCAAACUCCGAGAUCCUCAGCGAUUCUCCAAAUGGUUACAGAAUCUACUAGAAUCCCCAGCAACAAGAGCGCCUCUGUGAUGUCGACGAAUCGCCAUUGCAUAACCCAGAAUUGGCUCGAGCCAACAAAAGGGCACACGGAAAUUUAAUUCCAGAAAUGGUCAGCAGGCCACAGUCAAGUACGGUAAGCGAUGUAAACCUGAGAUGUAUGGAGUAUAAACUCCUAAAAUAUAUAAUUAAAAUUCAUUGGUAUAUUUUCAUAGUAGCUAGGCUUAUUUCACAAUCUUGCAAUAGGAAACUACAAAUAUUUAAUAGAUGUGGGACUGGAUGAUGACGGACAGAUGCACAGUCCAAUGGGAGCAAGUGGCAGAGAGUGACGUCCUCUCUGUCUCUCCCAGGCCGUGCUGAUGAUGUCUCUGAUCUGGAAGUACUAUGCUGACCCAGUGACGGUUCUGCCCAGUAAGUGGCUUUUCUCCUCUAGAGCGAAUGGUGGCCUUCCCAUCUGGAGUAGCAGGUAAGCCAGAUUACAGUGCCUGCCCUGAGAGGGGCUCUUAACACCAGGUGGGGUUGCGUCUUCAAUGGCUCCCUAUGUAGUGCGCUAUUGUAUUAAUGCUCUUCCAGGGCUCCAGACUGCGACCAUAUAGUUGUAUUUUGUUUCCCUUUGACUUGGCUUUGCAAGUUACAUUUCUUGUUGGUCACACUGGUGCGAGCUGUACAUUCUACCUGGUCACCUCACUCAAAACGUCUUGUUUUUUUGCGCAUAAAACCAUUAUUUGGUCUAACGGUGAAGUGCAGGAUUCCUGUAAUGAAAGUGUCUGCCCUGCUGCUGUGCCUGGUUCACACUUUUACAAUCGAGAUAUAUGAUAUGGCUUUGAAAUGCGGAGCUGUGCAUCGGCCAUUACGAGUGCACUAGGCCUCAUUGGGUAGUAGGUUUGAACUUGGUAGGAAAUCAAUUGUGUUCAAUGCAUUGAACUCGUUAAAACAUUUAUACAUUUUCCCAAGUGUAUAAUAAGACAUUUUUAUUUCACCUUUAUUUAACCAGGUAGGCCAGUUGAGAACAAGUUCUCAUUUACAACUGUGACCUGGCCAAGACAAAGCAAAGCAGUGCGACAAAUUAGAAAAAAAAAUCCUGAAAAUCACAUUGUAGGAUUUUUUAAAAUACAUUUAUUUGCAAAUUAUGGUGGAAAAUAAGUAUUUGGUCAAUAACAAAAGUUUAUCUAAAUACUUUGUUAUAUACCCUUUGUUGGCAAUGACAGAGGUCAAACGUUUUCUGUAAGUCUUCACACGGUUUUCACACACUGUUGCUGGUAUUUUGGCCCAUUCCUCCAUGCAGAUCUCCUCUAGAGCAGUGAUGUUUUGGGGCUGUUGCUGGGCAACAUGGACUUUCAACUCCCUCCAAAGAUUUUCUAUAGGGUUGAGAUCUGGAGACUGGCUAGGCCACUCCAGGACCUUGAAAUGCUUCUUACAAAGCCACUCCUUCGUUGCCCGGGCAGUGUGUUUGGGAUCAUUGUCAUGCUGAAAGAC